This 27-nucleotide small RNA is filed under the name Bombyx mori (domestic silkworm). RNAcentral's name for it is "ovarian small RNA-32388". Lineage: Eukaryota; Metazoa; Arthropoda; Insecta; Lepidoptera; Bombycidae. The record is from RNAcentral.
UGAUACGAGUGGGACAGGAUCGACGUG